This 591-nucleotide ribosomal RNA is filed under the name Sporisorium pulverulentum. Its description in RNAcentral is "eukaryotic LSU rRNA". It matches the Rfam family "Eukaryotic large subunit ribosomal RNA", at positions 81 to 653 of the family's 3401-position model. The record is from RNAcentral. Lineage: Eukaryota; Fungi; Basidiomycota; Ustilaginomycetes; Ustilaginales; Ustilaginaceae.
UAGUACGGCGAGUGAGAGGGAAGAAGCCCAAGAUUGAAAGCUGGCGUCUUCGGCGUCCGCAUUGUAAUCUCAAGAAGUGUUUUCCGCUUCGGACCAUGCCUAAGUCCCCUGGAAAGGGGCAUCAUAGAGGGUGAUAAUCCCGUACAUGGCAUGGAGCGCCCGAAGCUUUGUGAUACGCUUUCUAAGAGUCGAGUUGUUUGGGAAUGCAGCUCAAAAUGGGUGGUAAAUGCCAUCUAAGGCUAAAUAUUGGGGAGAGACCGAUAGCGAACAAGUACAGUGAUGGAAAGAUGAAAAGAACUUUGAAAAGAGAGUUAAACAGUACGUGAAAUUGCCAAAAGGGAAGGGUAGGAGGUCAGAGAUGCGUCUUGGGAUUCAGCCUUGCUUCUGCUUGGUGUUUUUCCCAAGUUUGCAGGCCAACGUCGGUUUUGGGCACUGGAGAAGGGUAGAAGGAACGUGGCACCUCUCGGGGUGUGUUAUAGCCUUCUACUGGAUACAGCGACCGAGACCGAGGACAGCAGCGUACUCGCAAGAGCGGGCCUUCGGGCACCUUUACGCUUAGGGCGUUGGCAUAAUGGCCCUCUACCACCCGUC